AAAUUAAAGGAUAUGGCGGUAUUUUAAUCUUUUCAGAGGAACCUGUUCUAUAAUUGAUAAUCCACGUUUGAUUAAACUUAAAUUUUUAAUUUGUAUAUCGUCGUUUAGAAAAUUUUUUAAAAAUAUAAAUUUUCGUAAAAUUAUACUAUGAUUUUAAUUCAGAUCAAGAUACAGUUUAUAUUUAAGAAGAAAUGGGUUACAUUAAAAUUAGUUGAGGAAAUUUUAUUGAAAAUAAGAAGAAAUAUGGAUUUGAUUGUAAUUUAAUUUACUUAAUUUAAAUGAUUAAAGUUCUAAAAUAUG
Molecule: ribosomal RNA, 300 nt
Filed under: Trochoideus desjardinsi
Lineage: Eukaryota; Metazoa; Arthropoda; Insecta; Coleoptera; Endomychidae
Also listed under: 1 other name
Description: partial 12S ribosomal RNA
Source: RNAcentral